RNAcentral lists this ribosomal RNA (468 nucleotides) under uncultured bacterium. RNAcentral's name for it is "partial 16S ribosomal RNA". It matches the Rfam family "Bacterial small subunit ribosomal RNA", at positions 28 to 507 of the family's 1533-position model. The record is from RNAcentral.
GACGAACGCUGGCGGCGUGCUUAACACAUGCAAGUCGAACGGAAAGGCCCUGCUUUUGUGGGGUGCUCGAGUGGCGAACGGGUGAGUAACACGUGAGUAUCCUGCCCUUGACUUUGGGAUAACUUCAGGAAACUGGGGCUAAUACCGGAUAGGAGCUCCUGCUGCAUGGUGGGGGUUGGAAAGUUUCGGCUGUUGGGGAUGGACUCGCGGCUUAUCAGCUUGUUGGUGGGGUAGUGGCUUACCAAGGCUUUGACGGGUAGCCGGCCUGAGAGGGUGACCGGCCACAUUGGGACUGAGAUACGGCCCAGACUCCUACGGGAGGCAGCAGUGGGGAAUAUUGCACAAUGGGCGGAAGCCUGAUGCAGCAACGCCGCGUGCGGGAUGACGGCCUUCGGGUUGUAAACCGCUUUCGCCUGUGACGAAGCGUGAGUGACGGUAAUGGGUAAAGAAGCACCGGCUAACUACGUG